Molecule: ribosomal RNA, 2659 nt
Filed under: Chloroparvula japonica
Lineage: Eukaryota; Viridiplantae; Chlorophyta; Chloropicophyceae; Chloropicales; Chloropicaceae
Description: large subunit ribosomal RNA
Rfam family: Bacterial large subunit ribosomal RNA
Source: RNAcentral
UUAAAAUACAGAAUGAAUGCCUAGGUAUAUAAAGUAAAAAGGGCGUUAAGCGGAACGAAACGCUGUAGGUAGGGCCGUUAUACCUGUGAUCUACAGAUCCCCUAUGGGAAAACUCCAAAGACUAAUAAAACGCGCUGAAUUGAAACAUCUUAGUAGGCGUGUGGAAGACAUCAACCGAGAGUCCGUUAGUUGUGGCGAGCGAACGCGGAUUAGGCCAAAAAAAGGUAUUAGGCUUCUUACAGACUCAAGCAUUUGGGAAAAUGCGCCGUAGAAGGUGAUAGUCCUGUCGGUGUGUAAAGAAGGUAAAAGCUAAGCCUUUUGUAUUAUGAGUAAGCCGGGGUGCCUACCCUGGUUGAAGAUAGGGGGACCACCCUCUAAGCCUAAUAACUUUAUAUAACCGAUAGUGUACAAGUACCGUGAGGGAAAGGUGAAAAGAACCCAUUGCUGGGAGUGAAAUAGACCCUAAAAUUCUGUAUGUACAAGCAGUCGGAGUCAAAAAGACAACGGCGUACUUCUUGCAUAACGGGCCAGCGAGUAUAUUUAGUUAGCGAAGCUUAAGCAUUUAUGUGUAGGCGUAGGGAAACCGAGGCUGUAUAGGCCGUUUAAGUUAACUGUAUAUGACCCGAAACCGGGUGAUCUAGUUAUGAGCAGGCUGAAGAAAGGGUCAGACCUUUUGGAGGGCCGAACUUGUGGAUGUUGCAAAAUCCUAAGAUGACUUGUGAUUAGGGGUGAAAGGCCAAUCAAACCCGGAGUUAGCUGGUUUUCCGCGAAAUCUAUUGAGGUAGAGCGUGCAGUUUCUAUAAGUACGGGGUAGAGCACUGUUUAGGUCUGGGGGACCAAAAAAUCUUACCAUGCUUAGGCAAACUCCGAAUACGUAACUUAUAAUCUGUGCAGACAGACGUACGGCGCUAAGGUCGUAUGUCGAGAGGGAAACAGCCCAGACCGUCUGAUAAGGUCCCUAAGCAAUUGCUGAGUGGUUAAGGAAGUUUAAUAGCGUAUACAACCAGUAGGUGGGCUUAGAAGCAGCCAUCCUUGUAAAGAAAGCGUAAUAGCUCACUGGUCUAGCUAGGAAGCGCCAUUGAUGUAACGGGGCUUAAGCAAUUCACCGAAUCAACGGAAUAUAUUUAUAUAUUGGUAGCGGAACGUUCUGUAUGUAGAUGAAGAUUUGUUGUAAAAUAAAUUGGAUAUAUCAGAAGUGAGAAUGCUGGCAUAAGUAACGUUUAAUCCUGUUAAAGUCAGGAUCGCCGAAAAUCCAAGGGUUUCUGCGGACCGUCUGUCGGCGCAGAGUUAUACGGCCCCUAAGUUGAAAAAACGAUGGGUGUAUGAUGAUCAACAUUUAAAAUUUCAUAGAUAAUGCAUAAACAUUAAAUUUAGAGUUUAGUAUAGGAUUGGAAGUCUAUAUGGUUCUAAUGAGUUGAUCCGUUGGAAUCAAAAGUUCUAAUUUAAUCUGGAAAAAAGUGCAUUGUUAAAUACCGUACCCAUAACCGACACUGGUGGAUAGGUAGAGCAUACUAAGGCGAGUGAGAGAACCAUGCUGAAGGAACUCGGCAAAUUACCUCCGUAACUUUGGGAAAUGGAGGGCCAAUUGAAAGAUUGGUGGCACAAAACAGAGGGUAGCGACUGUUUAAUAAAAACAUAGGACUCUGCUAAAUCGUGAAGAUGACGUAUAGGGUCUGACACCUGCCCGGUGCUGGAAGCUUAAGGGGAGAGGUGAAAGCUUCGAACUUAAGGCCCAGUAAACGGCGGCCGUAACUCUAACGGUCCUAAGGUAGCGAAAUUCCUUGCCCACUAAUUAUGGGCCUGCAUGAAUGGUGUAACGACUGCCCUACUGUCUCCAGCAUGGACUCAGUGAAAUUGAAUUCUCCGUGAAGAUGCGGAGUACUAAUGGUUAGACGGUAAGACCCUAUGCACCUUUACCGCAGCAUUGCAUUGGAUAACUCUUUAAAUUGUGUAGCAUAGGUGGGAGAGAGUUUCUCGUCAGUGAAAUACCACCCUGUUUCUAGAUUUAUCCUAACCCACGCGGGAACCGUGUAAUGUGGGUGGUUUGACUGGGAUGGUCGCCUGCUAAAGAGUAACGGAGGCGCACAAAGGUAGGCUCAUGCGGGACGGAAAUCCGUGGAAGAGCGUAAUGGCACAUGCCUGCCUGACUGUGAGACAGACAUGUCGAACAGGGACGCAAGUCGGUCAUAGUGAUCCGGGGGUUCUAUGUGGAUAGGCCCUCGCUCAACGGAUCAAAGGUACGCUAGGGAUAACAGGCUAAUGAUCUCCAAGAGCUCCUAUCGACGAGAUCGUUUGGCACCUCGAUGUCGUCUCAUCACAUCCUGGGGGUGAAGCAGCUCCCAAGGGUUCGGCUGUUCGCCGAUUAAAGUGGUACGUGAGAUGGGUUUAGAACGUCGUGAGACAGUUCGGUUCCUAUCUGCCAUUAGCGUUUAAAAUUGAGAGAAAAUGCCCUUAGUACGAGAGGACCGGGGCAUAUUAACCUCUGGUAUAUCGGUUGUUGCGCCAGCAGCACCGCCGAGUAGCUACGUUAAAUUGGAUAACCGCUGAAAGCAUAUAAGCGGGAAGCCUAUCUCGAGACAAAUUUUAGAGCAUGUAAAAGACUAAUACAUUGAUAGGCAAGGUGUGUAAGCAAAGUAAUUUGUGAGCAGACUUGUACUAA